Molecule: long non-coding RNA, 214 nt
Filed under: Elaeis guineensis (African oil palm)
Lineage: Eukaryota; Viridiplantae; Streptophyta; Magnoliopsida; Arecales; Arecaceae
Description: long non-coding RNA (EGUI_LNC059632)
Source: RNAcentral
CUCCAAAUUACAAAAAAAACUUUUGUUUCUUUAAAAUGAUGCCUAUAUCCUUUUUGGGUUCCUUGCAUAGUAUCUUCAUUUUCUAUAAUACCGUAUGCAUCCUUCUUUUAUUUAAAUUUUAUUUUAAGUCCAAUUUUCUUCAAACUUGAGUCUUUUUUAUCUGCAAAUCAGACUCUUUGUAUCGGCGAUCACCUUUCCUAUAAAACAUAAAAAG